CCUACGGGAGGCAGCAGUAGGGAAUUUUCCACAAUGGGCGAAAGCCUGAUGGAGCAAUACCGCGUGCAGGAUGAAGGCCUUCGGGUCGUAAACUGCUUUUAUGUGCGAAGAAUUUGACGGUAACACAUGAAUAAGGAUCGGCUAACUACGUGCCAGCAGCCGCGGUCAUACGUAGGAUCCAAGCGUUAUCCGGAAUUACUGGGCGUAAAGAGUUGCGUAGGUGGCAUUAUAAGUGGAGCGUGAAAGCGUGCGGCUCAACCGCAUUAUUGCGUUCCAAACUGCGAAGCUUGAGUAUGGGAGAGGUAGAUGGAAUUUCUAGUGUAGGAGUGAAAUCCGUAGAUAUUAGAAGGAACACCGAUGGCGUAGGCAGUCUACUGGCCCAUUACUGACACUAAGGCACGAAAGCGUGGGGAGCAAACGGGAUUAGAUACCCCGGUAGUCCACGCUGUAAACUAUGGAUGCUAGCUGUGACACACAUCGACCUGUGUCGUAGCGAAGUUAACGCGUUAAGCAUCCCGCUGGGGAGUACGUCGCAGAUAAACUACAAGAAGUAGAGCGUGAGAGUGCGACGACGACGACGAGGGAGAGG
Molecule: ribosomal RNA, 589 nt
Filed under: uncultured bacterium
Lineage: Bacteria
Description: bacterial SSU rRNA
Rfam family: Bacterial small subunit ribosomal RNA (bases 1-520)
Source: RNAcentral